GACCCCAUUUUCAUUUUGCCAAUUGGACUUAUGUCUUUAUUGGUCAUUCAAGUGGGGCAAAGGACACAUCCAUUUAAAACUCAGGCAAACUGGUGUUUGUCUUGUAUCCUGUCAAAGGAAACAAAU
This 126-nucleotide small nucleolar RNA is filed under the name Microcebus murinus (gray mouse lemur). Its description in RNAcentral is "Small nucleolar RNA SNORA27 (ENSMICG00000041431.1)". It matches the Rfam family "Small nucleolar RNA SNORA27". Rfam says of the family: ACA27 is a member of the H/ACA class of snoRNA that guide the sites of modification of uridines to pseudouridines. Lineage: Eukaryota; Metazoa; Chordata; Mammalia; Primates; Cheirogaleidae. The record is from Rfam by way of RNAcentral.